CCUACGUGAGGCAGCAGUGAGGAAUAUUGGUCAAUGGGCGCGCGCCUGAACCAGCCAAGUCGCGUGAAGGAUGACUGCCCUACGGGUUGUAAACUUCUUUUAUAAAGGAAUAAAGUGAGGCACGUGUGCCUUUUUGUAUGUACUUUAUGAAUAAGGAUCGGCUAACUCCGUGCCAGCAGCCGCGGUAAUACGGAGGAUCCGAGCGUUAUCCGGAUUUAUUGGGUUUAAAGGGAGCGUAGAUGGGUUGUUAAGUCCGUUGUGAAAGUUUGCGGCUCAACCGUAAAAUUGCAAUUGAUACUGGCAGUCUUGAGUACAGUUGAGGUAGGCGGAAUUCGUGGUGUAGCGGUGAAAUGCUUAGAUAUCACGAAGAACUCCGAUUGCGAAGGCAGCUUACUAAACUGCCACUGACAUUGAUGCUCGAAAGUGUGGGUAUCAAACAGGAUUAGAUACCCCUGUAGUC
Molecule: ribosomal RNA, 460 nt
Filed under: uncultured bacterium
Lineage: Bacteria
Description: partial 16S ribosomal RNA
Rfam family: Bacterial small subunit ribosomal RNA
Source: RNAcentral